UACCAGCACCCCGAGUGGUCGGGACGAUUAUUGGGCCUAAAGCAUCCGUAGCCGGUCAUGCAAGUCUUCCGUUAAAUCCAGCCGCUCAACGGUUGGGCUGCGGAGGAUACUACGUGGCUAGGAGGCGGGAGAGGCAAGCGGUACUCAGUGGGUAGGGGUAAAAUCCUUUGAUCCAUUGAAGACCACCAGUGGCGAAGGCGGCUUGCCAGAACGCGCUCGACAGUGAGGGAUGAAAGCUGGGGGAGCAAACCGG
This 253-nucleotide ribosomal RNA is filed under the name uncultured bacterium. RNAcentral describes it as "partial 16S ribosomal RNA". It matches the Rfam family "Archaeal small subunit ribosomal RNA", at positions 474 to 727 of the family's 1478-position model. The record is from RNAcentral.